This 2189-nucleotide long non-coding RNA is filed under the name Prunus persica (peach). RNAcentral's name for it is "long non-coding RNA (PPER_LNC006444)". The record is from RNAcentral. Lineage: Eukaryota; Viridiplantae; Streptophyta; Magnoliopsida; Rosales; Rosaceae.
CUAAGUUAAGAAUCCAAGCAAGCAAAAAAUGUGUUUCAAUUGGUGGGUAUUGUGUUCCAAUUGUUGGUUUAUCUCUUUUAAUACUUACCCAUAAAAAAGAAGUUAUAUAUUCUUACACUAUUGGCCUCUCCACUAGUCUAACUGUUAAUUUAAAUUUAUUUCUUUACAUAGCACUUAGUUGGCUCGAUAUUUACUUACAUAUAAGCUAGAUUGAUGACGGCCAAGAACCUUUAUUUGAGUUUGUUGUGUGACUUUUCUUUUUGUUGAUGGUGCUUGGUUAACCAAGUUUGAUGACUUUAUACGGCAAGUCUGUGUUGGUCUUUUCUAGUUGUGGUUGGAGGCAGGGGUGGCCUUGAAGGUGUGCAAGUGGUGCCACCGCAUAGGGCCCCUAAUUUUUUAGGGGUCCCAAAUUUUUUUCAUGUGUAUAAUAUAUGUAGAGUGCUGCUAUUUUCACUCACCUCAUAUUUUUCCACCCACCUUAUUUUAAAAAAUUUAAAGACAAAUUUAUCCCUAUGUAAAAUGACUUCUAAAACCCUAAAAAUAAAACAAAUUUUAAAAAGAAAAUAAAUUUUUUCUUUUACUCUCCAUAUUCUUUCCAUCUUCCUGACCUCAACAAAUUCAACGAGCAUUGAUCUACCCAUCCCAAUCCUUUGAAAAGUUUUUUAAAAAAAAAUUCAAAUCAAAUUCUCAACUCCACCUUUAAUAUUGUGUCAGGGUUGGUAGGUGUUGAUAAUAGAGGCCAAAUUGUCCUUUAAUUUUAUUCCAUUUUAAAGAUUUUUUAGUCUGAUUAACCCACAUACGGGUCCUUAUUCCAUAUAACAUCACUUCAAUUAAAAAUCCAUUGUAGUCUUGUUGGUUGUAUGUUGUUGUGGUGGUGGUGUCGUGGUCAUGAAGCCACCAGUACUGCUAAGGGGUUGAUGAGAAUAUUAAUAUGGUAGGGUAAGGUCGUGAUGUUGAAAACACAUGAAGAAGAUGAAAAAUGCUUUUUUUUUUUUUUGGGGUUAAAAUAUUUAUGUUUUUAACUUGGAGUUGAUGAUGUUUAGUCGAAUUAAUAAUUAAAGGGUAUUUUAGGAAUAAUGGUGGGUGGAAAAGUAGGAUUUUAAUUUUUCAAAUUUAUAUAGUGGGUGAGAAAAUAGGACAGGUGAGUGGAAAUAGCAGCACUCUAUAUGUAUAAUAAAUGUUAUAUAUAUACAGAAUGAGCAAAUUGUUGACACAAAGACGUUUCUAGUUGUGCUGGUUUGUAGGGCCUCAACUUCUAUUCAAGACUUGACUUCAAAACCUGCUUGUGUUAAAGGCUUGUCCGAUGUCAACACCAACAUUCAAUAUCCCAUCUACUUUCACAACUACAAACUAAAAUAAUAAAUACCCGAUCACAAUGAUUGGUGUGGAUUCCUUUUUUUUUUUCAGGUCAUGUUCAUAUAAAAGAACUAUCUUUCUUCUUGAAAUUAUAAGUAAAAAUAAUUAUGAUAAUAUAAUUAUUUUUCAUAUAAUCCUUAGUAGUGGGAAUGGGCAGAACUUACCCUUCAAUCAUGUAAAUGAGUUAUUCCUCGGUGGGAUCUCAAAUGUGGUUGUCAUUGAUUUCUUCGGUUCUAGCAGUGGUGGAUCCAGGAUUCUCAAGUCAUAGGAUCACAGUGUAAAAGUGUCAAAAAAAUUUAGGCUAAAUUGUGAAGGCGUUUUGUAGAACAAAUGAGUCAUUUCCUACCAUUUAUUAUUUUUUAAAUGCAAAAAUAAUAAUAAAUUUAAAAUAAAUAAAACACACACACACACACUAAUACUCUACCAUGAACCCCAACCUACCCUAGAAACCCUCUAAUAAGCGGAAGAAGUUUUUUUUUUUUUUUUUUUUUUGGAGAACCCCUUUAUAGAUAAAUUCAUCACUAAAAUUUAAGAUUUUGAGCUAUCUCUUCUUCCUUUUCUUUCUCUAUCUUUUAAAAUUUUCAAAUAAUUAUUUCCUACGAAUCAUUUGUAAUUUCUAAAUAAAAAUCUCAAUAAUCACAUCAACACAUAAUAAAGCUAGAAACAAUAAUAAUAAAUCAACUUUUUAGAGCAAUAAUUUAAUUAAGGGAGACUUUGGAAAAACCCAAAGGAGAGAGAAAUUUUUUAAAAGAAGUCAAAAUGGACAAAAUUGCCCUUAUUUAUUUUUGGAUUUCUUAAUGAAUCCUUUACAUUUGCAUGUCUUUGAUUUGAAA